Molecule: ribosomal RNA, 618 nt
Filed under: Hanseniaspora uvarum
Lineage: Eukaryota; Fungi; Ascomycota; Saccharomycetes; Saccharomycodales; Saccharomycodaceae
Description: eukaryotic LSU rRNA
Rfam family: Eukaryotic large subunit ribosomal RNA
Source: RNAcentral
UUGUAUUUUCCAAAAGCGGAGGAAAAGAAACCAACUGGGAUUACCUUAGUAACGGCGAGUGAAGCGGUAAAAGCUCAAAUUUGAAAUCUGGUACUUUCAGUGCCCGAGUUGUAAUUUGUAGAAUUUGUCUUUGAUUAGGUCCUUGUCUAUGUUCCUUGGAACAGGACGUCAUAGAGGGUGAGAAUCCCGUUUGGCGAGGAUACCUUUUCUCUGUAAGACUUUUUCGAAGAGUCGAGUUGUUUGGGAAUGCAGCUCAAAGUGGGUGGUAAAUUCCAUCUAAAGCUAAAUAUUGGCGAGAGACCGAUAGCGAACAAGUACAGUGAUGGAAAGAUGAAAAGAACUUUGAAAAGAGAGUGAAAAAGUACGUGAAAUUGUUGAAAGGGAAGGGCAUUUGAUCAGACAUGGUGUUUUUUGCAUGCACUCGCCUCUCGUGGGCUUGGGCCUCUCAAAAAUUUCACUGGGCCAACAUCAAUUCUGGCAGCAGGAUAAAUCAUUAAGAAUGUAGCUACUUCGGUAGUGUUAUAGCUUUUUGGAAUACUGUUAGCCGGGAUUGAGGACUGCGCUUCGGCAAGGAUGUUGGCAUAAUGGUUAAAUGCCGCCCGUCUUGACCAGGGACCA